ACUCCUACGGGAGGCAGCAGUGGGGAAUCUUCCACAAUGGGCGCAAGCCUGAUGGAGCAACACCGCGUGAGUGAAGAAGGGUUUCGGCUCGUAAAGCUCUGUUGUUAAAGAAGAACACGUAUGAGAGUAACUGUUCAUACGUUGACGGUAUUUAACCAGAAAGUCACGGCUAACUACGUGCCAGCAGCCGCGGUAAUACGUAGGUGGCAAGCGUUAUCCGGAUUUAUUGGGGCGUAAAGAGAGUGCAGGCGGUUUUCUAAGUCUGAUGUGAAAGCCUUCGGCUUAACCGGAGAAGUGCAUCGGAAACUGGAUAACUUGAGUGCAGAAGAGGGUAGUGGAACUCCAUGUGUAGCGGUGGAAUGCGUAGAUAUAUGGAAGAACACCAGUGGCGAAGGCGGCUACCUGGUCUGCAACUGACGCUGAGACUCGAAAGCAUGGGUAGCGAACAGGAUUAGAUACCCUGGUAGGAUAGCG
This 474-nucleotide ribosomal RNA is filed under the name uncultured bacterium. RNAcentral's name for it is "bacterial SSU rRNA". It matches the Rfam family "Bacterial small subunit ribosomal RNA", at positions 335 to 801 of the family's 1533-position model. The record is from RNAcentral.